CCUACGGGCCGCACCAGUGGGGAAUAUUGCACAAUGGGCGCAAGCCUGAUGCAGCCAUGCCGCGUGUAUGAAGAAGGCCUUCGGGUUGUAAAGUACUUUCAGCGGGGAGGAAGGUGUUGAGGUUGAUAACCUCAGCAAUUGACGUUACCCGCAGAAGAAGCACCGGCUAACUCCGUGCCAGCAGCCGCGGUAAUACGGAGGGUGCAAGCGUUAAUCGGAAUUACUGGGCGUAAAGCGCACGCAGGCGGUCUGUCAAGUCGGAUGUGAAAUCCCCGGGCUCAACCUGGGAACUGCAUUCGAAACUGGCAGGCUAGAGUCUCGUAGAGGGGGGUAGAAUUCCAGGUGUAGCGGUGAAAUGCGUAGAGAUCUGGAGGAAUACCGGUGGCGAAGGCGGCCCCUUGGACGAAGACUGACGCUCAGGUGCGAAAGCGUGGGGAGCAAACAGGAUUAGAUACCCUCGUAGUC
Molecule: ribosomal RNA, 465 nt
Filed under: uncultured bacterium
Lineage: Bacteria
Description: bacterial SSU rRNA
Rfam family: Bacterial small subunit ribosomal RNA
Source: RNAcentral